GGGCGCAGCCUGAUCCAGCCAUGCCGCGUGAGUGAUGAAGGCCCUAGGGUUGUAAAGCUCUUUUGGCGGGGAAGAUAAUGACGGUACCCGCAGAAUAAGCCCCGGCUAACUUCGUGCCAGCAGCCGCGGUAAUAGAAG
RNAcentral lists this ribosomal RNA (138 nucleotides) under uncultured bacterium. Its description in RNAcentral is "partial 16S ribosomal RNA". It matches the Rfam family "Bacterial small subunit ribosomal RNA", at positions 373 to 530 of the family's 1533-position model. The record is from RNAcentral.